RNAcentral lists this ribosomal RNA (264 nucleotides) under uncultured bacterium. Its description in RNAcentral is "partial 16S ribosomal RNA". It matches the Rfam family "Bacterial small subunit ribosomal RNA", at positions 90 to 354 of the family's 1533-position model. The record is from RNAcentral.
UCUUAGUGGCGGACGGGUGAGUAACGCGUGGGUAACCUGCCUUAUACAGGGGGAUAACACUUAGAAAUAGGUGCUAAUACCGCAUAAGCGCACGGGGCUGCAUGGCCCAGUGUGAAAAACUCCGGUGGUAUAAGAUGGACCCGCGUCUGAUUAGCUUGUUGGCGGGGUAACGGCCCACCAAGGCGACGAUCAGUAGCCGGCCUGAGGGGGUGGACGGCCACAUUGGGACUGAGACACGGCCCAGACUCCUACGGAAGGCAGCAG